RNAcentral lists this unclassified non-coding RNA (475 nucleotides) under Hevea brasiliensis (rubber tree). The record is from RNAcentral. Lineage: Eukaryota; Viridiplantae; Streptophyta; Magnoliopsida; Malpighiales; Euphorbiaceae.
CAUCAAUUGUUUGUGAUCUUGGGUUCCACUGAGCCUCACAAGCAGAGACCCGAAUCACACGUUCGUCUGACUCUGCUGAGGCAUCCUCAACAUGAAUGCUAGCACCUGUCUCAAAUCCAAUGUGGCAUCAUUGGAAUUCUUCUUCCCAAUUACCCCACCAAUUUUCCCUGCAGAGCAUAAAAUUUUCAUAGAAAACUCAGCUGAAUGUUCCCCACCAUGUCCUGAAGUAGCACCAUUAAAGCCAUCUGGCCUAAAUCCUGUGGGCUGACUGCCAUAUCCCCCCAUCCACGGCCUGGGAGGCAAAUUUUGGGAAGAAGAAUUCCAAUGAUGCCACAUUGGAUUUCCUGGUGGAUGCAUAUUUGUCAUGGGACCACCAGGAGGAUGAAAAUUUUGGCCACUGUAAGGCAUAGGCACACUUGGAGGUUUGUCUUUUCGGGGAUUUUGAUGCAAUAGAGUGGAUACUUCAUAUAGAGCC